This is a non-coding RNA of Sinocyclocheilus anshuiensis, 372 nucleotides long. Lineage: Eukaryota; Metazoa; Chordata; Actinopteri; Cypriniformes; Cyprinidae. The record is from the annotation of a RefSeq genome assembly.
AUGUUGCUCCUAGUAUUCAUUAUAUUUUCUCUUCUAAAAGAGAAUGCUGCUGCUGAUGUCAUAAAACCAGUCUACACACAGAAGCAGGUUUUGGCAGGAAAAGAUGUUACACUGAUCUGUAACUACACUGGCACAGUUCAGAGUUUACAGUGGUACCGUCAGUAUCCCGGAUCCAAACCUGAGCACCUCAUUAUGUUCUUUGAAACCAGCCCUAAAUCAGAGCCCACUCUCCGUCUGACCGCUGCGGCUGAUAAAGCAGCCAAAAGUAUGAAUUUGAUGAUCUCUUCUACAGAAGUGAAAGACUCUGCCAUGUACUACUGUGCCCUGCAGCCCACAGUGACAGGAAAUACAACUAGACCAAACAAAAACUGA